RNAcentral lists this ribosomal RNA (402 nucleotides) under bacterium. RNAcentral describes it as "partial 16S ribosomal RNA". It matches the Rfam family "Bacterial small subunit ribosomal RNA", at positions 355 to 776 of the family's 1533-position model. The record is from RNAcentral.
UGGGGAAUUUUGCACAAUGGGGGAAACCCUGAUGCAGCGACGCCGCGUGAUUUAGAAGGCCUUCGGGUUGUAAAAAUCUUUUCUAUGGGAAGAAAAUGACAGUACCAUAGGAAUAAGUACCGGCUAAUUACGUGCCAGCAGCCGCGGUAAUACGUAAGGUCCGAGCGUUGUCCGGAAUCAUUGGGCGUAAAGGGUACGUAGGCGGGUAAGCAAGUUAGAAGUGAAAUCCUAUAGCUCAACUAUCGUAAGCUUUUAAAACUGCUCAUCUUGAGGGAGGGCAGGGAAAGAGGAAUUCCUUGUGUAGCGGUGAAAUGCGCAGAUAUUAGGAGGAAUACCGGUGGCGAAGGCAACUUUCUGGCCAGCACCUGACGCUGAGGUACGAAAGCGUGGGUAGCAAACAGG